UACGUAGGGUCCGAGCGUUGUCCGGAAUUAUUGGGCGUAAAGAGCUCGUAGGCGGUUUGUCGCGUCUGCUGUGAAAUCCCGAGGCUCAACCUCGGGCCUGCAGUGGGUACGGGCAGACUGGAGUGCGGUAGGGGAGAAUGGAAUUCCUGGUGUAGCGGUGAAAUGCGCAGAUAUCAGGAGGAACACCGAUGGCGAAGGCAGGUCUCUGGGCAUUAACUGACGCUGAGGAGCGAAAGCAUGGGGAGCGAACAGG
This 253-nucleotide ribosomal RNA is filed under the name uncultured bacterium. RNAcentral describes it as "partial 16S ribosomal RNA". It matches the Rfam family "Bacterial small subunit ribosomal RNA", at positions 524 to 776 of the family's 1533-position model. The record is from RNAcentral.